AUUGAACGCUGGCGGCAUGCUUUACACAUGCAAGUCGAACGGUAACAGGCCUUCGGGUGCUGACGAGUGGCGAACGGGUGAGUAAUGCAUCGGAACGUACCCAGAGGUGGGGGAUAACGCAGCGAAAGCUGUGCUAAUACCGCAUGUGAUCUGAGGAUGACAGCGGGGGACCGAGCAGCAAUGUUUGGCCUCGCGCCUUUGGAGCGGCCGAUGUCGGAUUAGCUAGUUGGUGGGGUAAAGGCCUACCAAGGCGACGAUCCGUAGCUGGUCUGAGAGGACGACCAGCCACACUGGGACUGAGACACGGCCCAGACUCCUACGGGAGGCAGCAGUGGGGAAUUUUGGACAAUGGGCGCAAGCCUGAUCCAGCAAUGCCGCGUGCGGGAAGAAGGCCUUCGGGUUGUAAAGCGCUUUUGGCAGGAACGAAACGGUGUCCGCUAAUACCGGGCGCUAAUGACGGUACCUGCAGAAUAAGCACCGGCUAACUACGUG
RNAcentral lists this ribosomal RNA (492 nucleotides) under uncultured bacterium. RNAcentral's name for it is "partial 16S ribosomal RNA". It matches the Rfam family "Bacterial small subunit ribosomal RNA", at positions 29 to 507 of the family's 1533-position model. The record is from RNAcentral.